This 467-nucleotide ribosomal RNA is filed under the name uncultured bacterium. RNAcentral describes it as "partial 16S ribosomal RNA". It matches the Rfam family "Bacterial small subunit ribosomal RNA", at positions 28 to 507 of the family's 1533-position model. The record is from RNAcentral.
GAUGAACGCUGGCGGCGUGCUUAACACAUGCAAGUCGAACGAUGAUGCCCAGCUUGCUGGGUGGAUUAGUGGCGAACGGGUGAGUAACACGUGAGUAACCUGCCCUUGACUCUGGGAUAAGCCUGGGAAACUGGGUCUAAUACCGGAUACGACCAUCUGGCGCAUGUCAUGGUGGUGGAAAGCUUUUGUGGUUUUGGAUGGACUCGCGGCCUAUCAGCUUGUUGGUGGGGUAAUGGCCUACCAAGGCGACGACGGGUAGCCGGCCUGAGAGGGGGACCGGCCACACUGGGACUGAGACACGGCCCAGACUCCUACGGGAGGCAGCAGUGGGGAAUAUUGCACAAUGGGCGCAAGCCUGAUGCAGCGACGCCGCGUGAGGGAUGACGGCCUUCGGGUUGUAAACCUCUUUCAGUAGGGAAGAAGCGAAAGUGACGGUACCUGCAGAAGAAGCGCCGGCUAACUACGUG